This is a long non-coding RNA of Solanum stenotomum, 167 nucleotides long. RefSeq lists it as uncharacterized. Lineage: Eukaryota; Viridiplantae; Streptophyta; Magnoliopsida; Solanales; Solanaceae. The record is from RefSeq and is a predicted model, not a curated record. The transcript is spliced from 3 exons.
UAGGUUACACGCAAUUAUUGCAACUAUGCUGGUUACAUCAGUAAAGGGGAUAGCCAUAAUCCAUGACAUAUACAAUCGACCUUCCAGUGAUGUGAACUUGUGGAUGGGCCUGUUUGGAUAGCAUUGCCUCCAAUUUAUUAGAGUUGUGUCUAUAUGGCCACCAAAAC